CCUGGCUCAGGAUGAACGCUAGCUACAGGCUUAACACAUGCAAGUCGAGGGGCAGCAUGGUCUUAGCUUGCUAAGGCCGAUGGCGACCGGCGCACGGGUGAGUAACACGUAUCCAACCUGCCGUCUACUCUUGGACAGCCUUCUGAAAGGAAGAUUAAUACAAGAUGGCAUCAUGAGUCCGCAUGUUCACAUGAUUAAAGGUAUUCCGGUAGACGAUGGGGAUGCGUUCCAUUAGAUAGUAGGCGGGGUAACGGCCCACCUAGUCUUCGAUGGAUAGGGGUUCUGAGAGGAAGGUCCCCCACAUUGGAACUGAGACACGGUCCAAACUCCUACGGGAGGCAGCAGUGAGGAAUAUUGAUCAAUGGGCGAGAGCCUGAACCAUCCAAGUAGCGUGAAGGAUGACUGCCCUAUGGGUUGUAAACUUCUUUUAUAAAGGAAUACAGUCGGGUAUGCCUACCCGUUUGCAUGUACUUUAUGAUUGAGGAUCGGCUAACUCCGUGCCAGCAGCCGCGGUAAUACCGAGGAUCCGAGCGUUAUCCGGAUUUAUUGGGUUUAAAGGGAGCGUAGAUGGAUGUUUAAGUCAGUUGUGAAAGUUUGCGGCUCAACCGUAAAAUUGCAGUAGAUACUGGAUAUCUUGAGUGCAGUUGAGGCAGGCGGAAUUCGUGGUGUAGCGGUGAAAUGCUUAGAUAUCACGAAGAACUCCGAUUGCGAAGGCAGCCUGCUAAGCUGCAACUGACAUGAGGGCUCGAAAGUGUGGGUAUCAAACAGGAUUAGAUACCCUGGUAGUCCACACGGUAAACGAUGAAUACUCGCUGUUUGCGAUAUACAGCAAGCGGCCAAGCGAAAGCGUUAAGUAUUCCACCUGGGGAGUACGCCGGCAACGGUGAAACUCAAAGGAAUUGACGGGGGCCCGCACAAGCGGAGGAACAUGUGGUUUAAUUCGAUGAUACGCGAGGAACCUUACCCGGGCUUAAAUUGCAGAUGAAUUACGGUGAAAGCCGUAAGCCGCAAGGCAUCUGUGAAGGUGCUGCAUGGUUGUCGUCAGCUCGUGCCGUGAGGUGUCGGCUUAAGUGCCAUAACGAGCGCAACCCUUGUUGUCAGUUACUAACAGGUUCCGCUGAGGACUCUGACAAGACUGCCAUCGUAAGAUGUGAGGAAGGUGGGGAUGACGUCAAAUCAGCACGGCCCUUACGUCCGGGGCUACACACGUGUUACAAUGGGGGGUACAGAGGGCCGCUACCACGCGAGUGGAUGCCAAUCCCCAAAACCUCUCUCAGUUCGGACUGGAGUCUGCAACCCGACUCCACGAAGCUGGAUUCGCUAGUAAUCGCGCAUCAGCCACGGCGCGGUGAAUACGUUCCCGGGCCUUGUACACACCGCCC
Molecule: ribosomal RNA, 1382 nt
Filed under: uncultured bacterium
Lineage: Bacteria
Description: bacterial SSU rRNA
Rfam family: Bacterial small subunit ribosomal RNA
Source: RNAcentral